GGAAACGUCUUUGAGGUGGAAACCAAUUGA
This 30-nucleotide non-coding RNA is filed under the name Homo sapiens (human). The record is from RNAcentral. Lineage: Eukaryota; Metazoa; Chordata; Mammalia; Primates; Hominidae.